RNAcentral lists this long non-coding RNA (516 nucleotides) under Pogona vitticeps (central bearded dragon). Its description in RNAcentral is "lncRNA (ENSPVIG00000024520.1)". The record is from RNAcentral. Lineage: Eukaryota; Metazoa; Chordata; Lepidosauria; Squamata; Agamidae.
AUGCCUGUUUACUUGAGUAAUAAAGUUUCCUUGGGGGUCGACGAGACCCGCGUGUUUACUUACUCAGGAAGUAGCGCCGCUGAGUUCAGUGGCGCUUGCUCCCAAGGAACUUGUCCGUAUAACGACAGCUUUACUUUCAAGGAACGACCCAUAGCUUCACAUAUCUAUUCAGAAGUAAAUUCAAGGAUUUCAAUCCCGCUUACUCUCACAUGUAGGAAGAUGCAACUGAGGCUGAGUUCGGUGACUUUCCCUAAGUAAGUUUAAAGAAGGAGGUAAGUUUCUAACUCACAGCUUUUACUAUUGGCUAUAAUUAGCCAUAAAUUCGUUGCUUCCUUCCUACUCCUGGUGCAUCAAAUACUAAUUUCUAUGGUUCCUUGUCCCCCUGCCUCCCUAGAUCUUUAUACUAUUUUGAGCUACAGUGGAUGAAUUUCAGCUUUUUCUGGCAUAGGGAAAGCAUUUCUCUUCUGCAGGGGAAAACAUCUGUUGAAUUUCUUCCUGCAAUGCAGUUAUCAAAUG